CCCUUAGACGUUCUGGGCCGCACGCGCGCUACACUGACGAAGGCAACGAGCUUUCCUUUACCGAAAGGUACGGGUAAUCUUUUGAAACUUCGUCGUGCUGGGGAUAGAUCCUUGCAAUUUUUGAUCUUAAACGAGGAAUUCCUAGUAAGCGCAAGUCAUCAACUUGCGUUGAUUACGUCCCUGCCCUUUGUACGCACCGCCCGUCGCUACUACCGAUUGAAUGGUUUAGUGAGGCCUUCGGAUCCGCGACUCGUUUUGUGGAGAAGUUGGACAAACUCAGUCAUUUAGAGGAAGUAAAAGUCGUAACA
RNAcentral lists this ribosomal RNA (308 nucleotides) under uncultured eukaryote. Its description in RNAcentral is "partial 18S ribosomal RNA". It matches the Rfam family "Eukaryotic small subunit ribosomal RNA", at positions 1470 to 1796 of the family's 1831-position model. The record is from RNAcentral.